CCGACCUCCUGCCGGCGAAGACGGGUCAUAAGAUGAAGGGUAAGGCAGGGGGUGUCGAGGGGCUGAAUGAGCCGGUCUCGGGGUCCCGAGAGCCCACCGGAAUUAGCUUGGAAGGAGAAAAGAGACAGACAGAGACAGACAGACGGACGGAUGGACAGGUGCGCGCGGGUUGAAAACAGCAACCCCAGGAAUUUCCCAGGCAGCAGAACAACCCAAGGAAAAUUUGCCCACCUCAAAACUGGAAUCAGAAGAUUCCCCAAAUACUCAGCCUGAGCUUUCUAGAACCCAUUAUGCUUAUCAAAGCCACUGUGUGUGUGUGUCUGUUGCAAGCACACCACCACCAAGCCGCAUGCCCAGCCCCAAAGUCACUCUCAAUUUAGAAAACGGACUCUGGAUUUUCUCCCUCAACCUCAGGAAACUCUGAACUCUCAAAAUUGCAUUUUUUUCCAGCAGAGAAUUUUCACAAAUGUGACUUAAAUCUGAAAAAGCAGAGAUCUUUUGUCCAUUGAAAAUGUAAAAUUAUGAGAACCAAAAUGUCUAAAGCAGCUAAUUUCCAAAACAUCAACUCUAACAUGACUAGCUUGAAAAAAAAUUUUUAAAUCAUUUUUAGGCAUGAUGAAUUCAUUUCUGUGCACAUUAAUUGAAAAGUCCUUCUUGCUGCAUAUCCUAGAACGGUUUUAAACCAGAGGCCCUUCAAGAGCUUAUCUAAAUUACCCUUAUUUAGGGAGAUAAUCAGCUAAAAGUGGACCAGAGUUUCUGCAGUUUCAUCUAGCCUAAAGAAACAAGGGAAGCAGUUUUUUUUUUCUUUUUCUCUUCUUAAAAGAGUUCUAGGACAAUCUUAUUUCUUUUAAUUUGAGGAAUAGCAUCAAAAUUGUAUAGAUAGGAAUAUAAAACAAAUCUCCACCUUGCAAGAAAACCUCAUAGUGUCACAGUCUUUCUUACUCUGUUUGUCUUGAGAAAUAACAUAGUCUUUUGGGCUAAGGGCAAAUAGCUUAUCCUUACAUCGAAAGUUCCCUUCCAGCUUUCUCAGAGGACCAUUACUGCUUAUUAGAGCCUCAGAAUUUAGCAAGAAAUGCUCUGGAAGCCUUCUCCUCGGUGCACAGAUUGAGAGAUUGAACCUAGGGAAGUGGAUAUGUUGUCAAGAUCACACUGUGAGUGGUCAGCAGUUCUGUUUUAUGAUUCAGU
This 1185-nucleotide long non-coding RNA is filed under the name Urocitellus parryii (Arctic ground squirrel). RNAcentral's name for it is "lncRNA (ENSUPAG00010001127.1)". Lineage: Eukaryota; Metazoa; Chordata; Mammalia; Rodentia; Sciuridae. The record is from RNAcentral.